Long non-coding RNA from Alosa sapidissima (American shad), 397 nucleotides. RefSeq lists it as uncharacterized. The record is from RefSeq and is a predicted model, not a curated record. Lineage: Eukaryota; Metazoa; Chordata; Actinopteri; Clupeiformes; Clupeidae. The transcript is spliced from 4 exons.
CUCAUCUCUACCUAUUAGCAGCAACAACACAUGUAUAGAUGUAAAUGAAUGUCAAUCUGAUCCAUGUGGUACACACUCGACCUGCAUCAACACAAUUGGCAGUUACAACUGUUCUUGCUGGAGAGGAUACACCCCAACCAACUCAUCACUGCCUGUUAUCAACAACAACACUUGUACAGAUGUAAAUGAAUGUGCCUCUGAUCCAUGCGGUAAAAACUCCACCUGCAUCAACACGAUUGGCAGUUACAACUGUUCUUGCUGGAGAGGAUACACCCCAACAAACUCAUCGCUACCUAUUAGCAGCAACAACACAUGUAUAGAUGUAAAUGAAUGUGAAUCUGAUCCAUGUGGUAAAAACUCCACCUGCGUCAACACCAUUGGUAGAUACAACUGUUCU